GGGCCUAUAGCUCAGUCGGUUAGAGCGCUACACUGAUAAUGUAGAGGUCGAUGGUUCGAGUCCAUCUAGGCCCA
RNAcentral lists this transfer RNA (74 nucleotides) under Arcanobacterium haemolyticum. RNAcentral's name for it is "tRNA-Ile". It matches the Rfam family "tRNA". Rfam says of the family: Transfer RNA (tRNA) molecules are approximately 80 nucleotides in length. Their secondary structure includes four short double-helical elements and three loops (D, anti-codon, and T loops). The record is from RNAcentral. RNAcentral also lists the same sequence under 6 other names. Lineage: Bacteria; Bacillati; Actinomycetota; Actinomycetes; Actinomycetales; Actinomycetaceae.